CGGGAAAUAGCUCAGCUUGGUAGAGCGCUGCGUUCGGGACGCAGAGGUCGCAAGUUCGAAUCUUGUUUUCCCGA
RNAcentral lists this transfer RNA (74 nucleotides) under Bombilactobacillus mellis. RNAcentral describes it as "Lactobacillus mellis tRNA". It matches the Rfam family "tRNA". Rfam says of the family: Transfer RNA (tRNA) molecules are approximately 80 nucleotides in length. Their secondary structure includes four short double-helical elements and three loops (D, anti-codon, and T loops). RNAcentral also lists the same sequence under 19 other names. Lineage: Bacteria; Bacillati; Bacillota; Bacilli; Lactobacillales; Lactobacillaceae. The record is from Rfam by way of RNAcentral.